UACAGAGGGGGCAAGCGUUGUUCGGAAUUACUGGGCGUAAAGGGCGCGUAGGCGGCCUGUUAAGUCGAACGUGAAAUCCCCGGGCUCAACCCGGGAACUGCGUCCGAUACUGGCAGGCUUGAAUUCGGGAGAGGGAUGCGGAAUUCCAGGUGUAGCGGUGAAAUGCGUAGAUAUCUGGAGGAACACCGGUGGCGAAGGCGGCAUUCUGGACCGACAUUGACGCUGAGGAGCGAAAGCCAGGGGAGCAAACGGG
Molecule: ribosomal RNA, 253 nt
Filed under: uncultured bacterium
Lineage: Bacteria
Description: partial 16S ribosomal RNA
Rfam family: Bacterial small subunit ribosomal RNA
Source: RNAcentral